RNAcentral lists this transfer RNA (81 nucleotides) under Sulfurimonas sp. RIFCSPLOWO2_12_FULL_36_74. Its description in RNAcentral is "tRNA-Leu". It matches the Rfam family "tRNA". Rfam says of the family: Transfer RNA (tRNA) molecules are approximately 80 nucleotides in length. Their secondary structure includes four short double-helical elements and three loops (D, anti-codon, and T loops). Further hydrogen bonds mediate the characteristic L-shaped molecular structure. tRNAs have two regions of fundamental functional importance: the anti-codon, which is responsible for specific mRNA codon recognition, and the 3' end, to which the tRNAs corresponding amino acid is attached (by aminoacyl-tRNA synthetases). tRNAs cope with the degeneracy of the genetic code in two manners: having more than one tRNA (with a specific anti-codon) for a particular amino acid; and 'wobble' base-pairing, i.e. permitting non-standard base-pairing at the 3rd anti-codon position. The record is from RNAcentral. Lineage: Bacteria; Pseudomonadati; Campylobacterota; Epsilonproteobacteria; Campylobacterales; Sulfurimonadaceae.
GCGGAUGUGGUGAAAUUGGUAUACACGCCAGACUUAGGAUCUGGUGUCGCAAGACGUGGAAGUUCGAGUCUUCUCAUCCGC